UACGGGGGGGGCAAGCGUUGUUCGGAAUUACUGGGCGUAAAGGGCUCGUAGGCGGCCAACUAAGUCAGACGUGAAAUCCCCAGGCUCAACCUGGGAACUGCGUCUGAUACUGGAUGGCUUGAAUCCGGGAGAGGGAUGCAGAAUUCCAGGUGUAGCGGUGAAAUGCGUAGGUAUCUGGAGGAAUAUCGGUGGCGAAGGCGGCAUCCUGGACCGGCAUUGACGCUGAGGAGCGAAAGCCAGGGGAGCAAACGGG
RNAcentral lists this ribosomal RNA (253 nucleotides) under uncultured bacterium. Its description in RNAcentral is "partial 16S ribosomal RNA". It matches the Rfam family "Bacterial small subunit ribosomal RNA", at positions 524 to 776 of the family's 1533-position model. The record is from RNAcentral.